Meleagris gallopavo (turkey) is the source of this 1166-nucleotide non-coding RNA. NCBI's taxonomy places the organism in Eukaryota, Metazoa, Chordata, Aves, Galliformes, Phasianidae. The record is from RefSeq and is a predicted model, not a curated record.
CAAAGAUAUUUUGCUGGAGAUCUCUGCUUAUUGGAGGCCUUCCGAAGGCACAGAAUCUGUUUACACUAGUGUCCUUAAGGGGUGACAUGUUCAGGUACGUGCCAGUAAACCUCACGUUUGGCCCUGUGGAGUGCCCCUGAAAUUCAUAGUGGUGGAACUACGCUGAGUGUGGAGAAUGGGAGACAUCAAAUCAAUGUUAUUCAUUCAGGGUUCUAUUCUUCUGAAGAGAGACAAUAAGGCCUACACCUGCUAGUACUAUGAAGUUCUUCGUGAUCCCAGCAUGCAGCUCAGUGACUGACAUCAUAGGCUCAAGUGGUCUUGGAUUUUGUCCCAGUAUCAUGAAUGUUCAUUGGAAUAAAUAGAAUUAGUUUCAUCUCUCACAAUUCCAUUGGAAUCAGUGGAAAGAUACCAUGUUUUUGCACUGCUUCCUGAAGAACAAGACAAGGAAUCUGCACAGUUUGGAACCAACAGUGGUUCCCAACAGUUUGACACAUUUGUUCAAGUCAUGGCGAUGUGAGUUGAUAGGGCCAGUGUGUGUCAGAAAUCUGUACUUUCUCUGUUUUCCACAUAGAAAAAGGGUGCUCUCAUGACAUUUUCCAUUAUUACUAAACUUCUUAUUAAAAAAUGUUAGAACAAAAAAUACCUCAGAUGUUUCUGUUAGAGGUGCGGAUCAGUAGGGAUCUGAUCUGUAAUGUUAGCUUUGUUCCUCCUGAUCACUGCCAUCCCCCUUUCCCUUCCACCCCACCCAGAUGGCUGGGGCUGCACCGGAGAAAGGCAGAAGUCUGCUGAUCCCUCUUGCAACCCAGCUAAGGUGUGGUCCUUUACAAAGAGAAAAUAAAUUAACUCUUCAUAGGAUAAAGCAAACACUGUCUUAUCUUUUCUGAAGAGGCAGGCCUUUUUGUGGUUGGAAUGCUCUGAGCUGUAGAAAGUUGGUGAACUUCCAUCUGCAUGGCAGUAUGCCCCACAGUCACAGGUUGGUUGCUGGCCAUGAAUUCUACAUGCUCCUUGUUUCAUUGGGGAAUGCUGCACUUCCUCAGUCUGUGUGGUAGGUAGGAGACUCUCAAGGUGGGAGGAGGGUAGUGCUGAUGGAAGGUGAGAAGUGAUGUAUUAAAAUGAUCAUUUUAAAACCAAAUCAGAAAAACAUAAAGAGAACUUGAGACAAUGCC